UACGAAGGGAACUAGCGUUGUUCGGAAUUACUGGGCGUAAAGCGCACGUAGGCGGAUAUGUUAGUCAGGGGUGAAAUCCCGGGGCUCAACCCCGGAACUGCCUUUGAUACUGCAAAUCUAGAGUCCGAUAGAGGUGAGUGGAAUUCCUAGUGUAGAGGUGAAAUUCGUAGAUAUUCGGAGGAACACCAGUGGCGAAGGCGGCUCACUGGCCAGAUACUGACGCUGAGGUGCGAAAGUGUGGGGAGCAAGCAGG
Molecule: unclassified non-coding RNA, 253 nt
Filed under: uncultured Alphaproteobacteria bacterium
Lineage: Bacteria; Pseudomonadati; Pseudomonadota; Alphaproteobacteria
Description: contains 16S-23S intergenic spacer region
Rfam family: Bacterial small subunit ribosomal RNA
Source: RNAcentral